This 2455-nucleotide long non-coding RNA is filed under the name Malus domestica (apple). Its description in RNAcentral is "long non-coding RNA (MDOM_LNC003599)". The record is from RNAcentral. Lineage: Eukaryota; Viridiplantae; Streptophyta; Magnoliopsida; Rosales; Rosaceae.
CACGACAAGAGAAGAUCAUCCUAGCACCACAAAUUGGUUAGGUGAUGGUUAUCAUCCAUUCACGAACCCAUAAUUUUCCAAUCAAUUCGGGUUGUAAUUUCUUAUUCGGGUUGUAAUUUCUUAUUCAUUGAAUAGAGUACUUUAUGUUGUUUCCAAUUUAUUGAACUUAGUACUUUAUUCAAAACACAUUUAAACACACCAAAUAAAAUAACAUCAACACACCAAAAAAACACACCAAAUAAAAUAAAAUUACAUUUCAACUCACUAAAUGAACUAAAAAAACACACCACAUAAAAUAAAAUAAACACACCAAAUAAAAUAAAAUUACAUUUCAACUCACUAAAUGAACUAAAAAAACACACCACAUAAAAUAAAAUAAACACACCAAAUAAAAACAAACACUAAUGAACUUAAGUAUCGUCAGCACCCCUCAAUUCCCACUGGUGCUCUAUCAAGUCAAGUUGGCGGGCAUUGUGCAUAUAUGACCUUUGAAGUGCAGUAUAUCGUUGGAUGAUCCUUUCAUUGUAACGUCCAUCCCUUUCUAAUGGCUCAUGUUGCACGGGCUCAUCGGUGGCGUCAUGAGCACAAUAUAUACGUGUUCUUGAAUUGUUCAUCGUGUCUGGCUCAUAUUCAUCAACGGCUUCAUAAUCGUACUCAUCUUCCACAAUCAUGUUGUGAAGAAUGAUGCACGUCAUCAUGAUGGAUCGAAGCGACUCUACAUCAAACAAUCUGGCAGCACCCCUGAUGAGAAUAUGAAAAAUCAAUAUUUAUUUGGACUGUUGGGCUUCUUGGAAUUUUUCAAGGUCUUCAAAUUUAUUGGUGCUAAAUUGGCUAUUGUGGAAAAUGUUAGUUGGACAUUUGAAAGAUCGAGGAAGACCAAACAAAACUUGAGGACGAGUUAUCGCACAACAGAAAUGUAUGACACCGAAUUUGGACUCGUCUAAUUAUUACAUGGUGUAUUCAGCAUAUUUAAUUCAAUGAUGGUUCAUGUUCUCAUUUAAGUUCAUGAUUAGUCUUACAUUAACUUCAUGCUUAGUAACCUAUUCAUGGAAGGUUGAAGGUUGUUCCAUGCCUAGCUAUUUAAAACCACUACUCAUGUAUGGAAACACAAUUAUUCAGAAAUUAAAAAUUACUUUUAAACUUGUUUUAUUGAAGAGUGUUUUUCUUCCUAUCUGUAAACUCUUAUCUCUUUGGUGGAUUCCUUAGAGUGCCGAGUUGUUUAUCUUUGAAUGUUCACUUAUGGUUUCUCUUUGAUCUCCGUUAUCCGGAGUCAGACACCUCAAGUAAGGCAGGGUAAAACCUUGCUUAUAGAGUUGGUCAUUGAUGAUCAGGUUGCUAGCAGACUUGAAUCAAAUUUGCUUAGCUUGGACUUUAUCAUCUGGGAAGGUGCCAUGAGUAAGGAAUUUAUAGAUUGGGGUGAUCCAACUAUCCCUUUGUUGUACGUUGCACACUUCCAUGGCUAUGGUGCUUGGUGCUGCCAAUAACUCGACAUGAAUGUUUCUUCCAAUCUCGUCUUCCACUGCUGAGGUGAGGCGAGCCAAGGCGUCUGCAUGGCUAUUUACUGCUCGAAGGACUUGGGUGAUAUAGUAGUGGAAAUGCUUGAGCAAAAGUUGUGCCUGCGUAAGAUAUGCGUCCAUGGAGCUAUCCUUAGCGUCAAAGUUGUUCGUGACUUGGUUAACCACUACCUGAGAGUCGCUGAAGAUAUCAAGUUGUUUAACUCCAAGGUGUUUGGCUAAACGCGCUUACUAGGAGGACUUCAUACUAGGCCUUAUUGUUUGACGCUUUGAAUUUGAAAAGAAGGGCAUACUCCAUUGCAAUUUUGUUAGGCAUAGUAAAGACCAGUCUUACUCCACAGACUUGUUGGUUGGAUGAGCCAUCAACAUACAAAGACCAUACUGGGAAGGUUGGUUCUCCUUUUCGAGCUUCUUAAGGUAACAAAGCCAAUGCCUCAGGUGUAGGAGAAAUGUCAACUGGAUAUGUGAAUUCAGUGAUGAAGUCUGCAAUUGCUUAACCCUUCUCAACUGGCUUUAGUUGGUAAGAGACAUCAAACUCACCCAAUGUUAUCGUCAUUUGAUCAUUCGUCCCGAAGUGUCAAGACUCUAGAGUAUUUGUCGAAGGGGGUGAUUGGUAAACACGAUGAUAGAGUGUGGUUGGAAGUAAGAGCGAAGUUUUCAAGCAGACAUGAUCAAUGCUAGAGCCAAUUUCUCAAUGUUAGAGUAUCGUAUCUCUGUAUCUUAUAAGGCUUUGCUAGUGUAGUAGACGGGUCGUUCAACAUUACCAUUCUUUUGAAUGAGAAUAAAACUAAUUGCUAAAGCUGAAACAUAUAAAUAGAUAAUGAUAACAUCAUCAACUUUAGGUUUGGAGAGUAAGGGGCUUUACUCAUGUACUCUUUGAGGUUCUUGAAUGCCUUGGCACAUUUAUUAGUCCAUGUAAUGUAUUUCUUACUUCCCUUAAG